Molecule: ribosomal RNA, 138 nt
Filed under: uncultured bacterium 4-Org16-519
Lineage: Bacteria
Description: partial 16S ribosomal RNA
Rfam family: Bacterial small subunit ribosomal RNA
Source: RNAcentral
UACGGGAGGCAGCAGUGGGGAAUAUUGGACAAUGGGGGCAACCCUGAUCCAGCCAUGCCGCGUGAGUGAAGAAGGCCUUCGGGUUGUAAAGCUCUUUCAGAUGCGAAGAUGAUGACGGUAACAUCAGAAGAAGCCCCG